RNAcentral lists this ribosomal RNA (465 nucleotides) under uncultured bacterium. RNAcentral's name for it is "partial 16S ribosomal RNA". It matches the Rfam family "Bacterial small subunit ribosomal RNA", at positions 28 to 507 of the family's 1533-position model. The record is from RNAcentral.
GACGAACGCUGGCGGCGUGCUUAACACAUGCAAGUCGAACGGAAAGGCCCCUUCGGGGGUCCUCGAGUGGCGAACGGGUGAGUAACACGUGAGUAACCUGCCCUUGACUUCGGGAUAACUUCAGGAAACUGGGGCUAAUACCGGAUAGGAAUCCUUGCUGCAUGGUGGGGGUUGGAAAGCUUCGGCGGGUUUGGAUGGACUCGCGGCUUAUCAGCUUGUUGGUGGGGUAGUGGCUUACCAAGGCUUUGACGGGUAGCCGGCCUGAGAGGGCGACCGGCCACAUUGGGACUGAGAUACGGCCCAGACUCCUACGGGAGGCAGCAGUGGGGAAUAUUGCACAAGGGGCGGAAGCCUGAUGCAGCAACGCCGCGGGCGGGAUGACGGCCUUCGGGUUGGAAACCGCUUUCAGCAGGGGCGAAGCUUGUGGUGACGGUACCUGCAGAAGAAGCACCGGCUAACUACGUG